Long non-coding RNA from Sardina pilchardus (European sardine), 217 nucleotides. RefSeq lists it as uncharacterized. NCBI's taxonomy places the organism in Eukaryota, Metazoa, Chordata, Actinopteri, Clupeiformes, Clupeidae. The record is from RefSeq and is a predicted model, not a curated record. The transcript is spliced from 2 exons.
CUGCUGCGAGAAGGUGUGUGCGAGCACACCAGAGCCUUCCACCAGCUGGGUGCCCUGCCUGUCCGGACCACGGCAGGGGUGAUGUUGCCUGCCUCUCCGGACUGCUACAGUUGGUCAGGCUGCUGUCUUGUCUUCCUUUAGUUUUGUUUGAUGUUUGAUUUACUAUUUUGUCUGUUACUUUUGGUUUGAUUGUCUUUGUCCAUUGUCUUUCUUUUGU